ACCUGCGCCUGGGUGUCCGGCGUGUGUGUGUGUGUGUGUGUGUGUGUGUGUCCAGGGCGUAGUGCACGCUCAC
Molecule: microRNA precursor, 73 nt
Filed under: Dasypus novemcinctus (nine-banded armadillo)
Lineage: Eukaryota; Metazoa; Chordata; Mammalia; Cingulata; Dasypodidae
Description: miRNA (ENSDNOG00000027915.2)
Source: RNAcentral